GGUAAGAGGCACAGAAGAGAAGAAGAAGAAAGAAGAAGAAAAGAAAGAAGAGGAGAAGAAAGCUGAAGAGCCUCAGGAGAUCGUUCUUAAAGUUGAUAUGUAUUGUGAGGCUUGUGCUCGGAAGGUCGGCAGAGCCCUAAAAGGAUUUCAAGGAGUGGAGGAAGUAAUGACAGACUGACAGG
Molecule: long non-coding RNA, 182 nt
Organism: Telopea speciosissima
Lineage: Eukaryota; Viridiplantae; Streptophyta; Magnoliopsida; Proteales; Proteaceae
Exons: 5
Source: RefSeq, a predicted model, not a curated record